RNAcentral lists this ribosomal RNA (468 nucleotides) under uncultured bacterium. Its description in RNAcentral is "partial 16S ribosomal RNA". It matches the Rfam family "Bacterial small subunit ribosomal RNA", at positions 28 to 507 of the family's 1533-position model. The record is from RNAcentral.
GACGAACGCUGGCGGCGUGCUUAACACAUGCAAGUCGAACGGAAAGGCCCUGCUUUUGUGGGGUGCUCGAGUGGCGAACGGGUGAGUAACACGUGAGUAACCUGCCCUUGACUUUGGGAUAACUUCAGGAAACUGGGGCUAAUACCGGAUAGGAGCUCCUGCUGCAUGGUGGGGGUUGGAAAGUUUCGGCGGUUGGGGAUGGACUCGCGGCUUAUCAGCUUGUUGGUGGGGUAGUGGCUUACCAAGGCUUUGACGGGUAGCCGGCCUGAGAGGGUGACCGGACACAUUGGGACGGAGAUAAGGCCCAGACUACUACGGGAGGCAGAAGUGGGGAAUAUUGCACAAUGGGCGGAAGCCUGAUGCAGCAACGCCGCGUGCGGGAUGACGGCCUUCGGGUUGUAAACCGCUUUCGCCUGUGACGAAGCGUGAGUGACGGUAAUGGGUAAAGAAGCACCGGCUAACUACGUG